This 496-nucleotide ribosomal RNA is filed under the name uncultured bacterium. RNAcentral's name for it is "partial 16S ribosomal RNA". It matches the Rfam family "Bacterial small subunit ribosomal RNA", at positions 30 to 523 of the family's 1533-position model. The record is from RNAcentral.
AUUGAACGCUGGCGGAAUGCUUUACACAUGCAAGUCGAACGGUAGAGGGGGCAACCCCUCGAGAGUGGCGAACGGGUGAGUAAUAUAUCGGAACGUGCCCAGUCGUGGGGGAUAACGUAGCGAAAGUUACGCUAAUACCGCAUACUAUCCAAGGAUGAAAGCGGGGGAUCGCAAGACCUCGCGUGAUUGGAGCGGCAGAUAUCAGCUUAGGUAGUGGGGGGGGUAAAGGCUCACCAAGCCAACGAUCUGUAGCUGGUCUGAGAGGACGACCAGCCACACUGAAACUGAGACACGGUCCAGACUCCUACGGGAGGCAGCAGUGGGGAAGUUUGGACAAUGGACGCAAGUCUGAUCCAGCCAUUCCGCGUGCAGGAUGAAGGCCCUCGGGUUGUAAACUGCUUUUGUACGGAACGAAAAGGUCUCUCUUAAUACGGGGGACUCAUGACGGUACCGUAAGAAUAAGCACCGGCUAACUACGUGCCAGCCGCCGCCGUAA